This is a long non-coding RNA of Vicia villosa (hairy vetch), 421 nucleotides long. RefSeq lists it as uncharacterized. NCBI's taxonomy places the organism in Eukaryota, Viridiplantae, Streptophyta, Magnoliopsida, Fabales, Fabaceae. The record is from RefSeq and is a predicted model, not a curated record. The transcript has 3 exons.
UUAUGGUUUAGGGUUUUGAGUUUUUGACCAAAUCCAAUAUCAUCUAUUUUUACAGGUUUAUUAUUUUUAUAACUAUUCAACUACAGAUAUAUUUCACGAGGUUAAAAGAAAGAAGGACUGAAGAAAAUAGGUAUUAAAGAUUUUUUCGGAGUUGUUUGACACCUUUUGAGACUCUUAUCACUUUUCAUGGAAAAAGUCAAAGGAAAUCACCGGGAGUACCAAAGAAUCCACAUUCCUAGGGUACUAUCUUCAUUAAGAGUAGAACAUGUAACCAUCUCAUUUAUCCGACCUUCAUCCAACUACAUUAUCCAAUCAACCCAGAUAAGUGGUCUCUAAAAAGGUUGUCAUGAACACUUUGUUUUGCUAAAAAUACUGAACCUACCCAUAUAAUCAUUAUGUUUGUGUGAUACAGUAAUGUGGA